This 253-nucleotide ribosomal RNA is filed under the name uncultured bacterium. RNAcentral's name for it is "partial 16S ribosomal RNA". It matches the Rfam family "Bacterial small subunit ribosomal RNA", at positions 524 to 776 of the family's 1533-position model. The record is from RNAcentral.
UACGGGGGGGGCAAGCGUUGUUCGGAAUUACUGGGCGUAAAGGGCUCGUAGGCGGCCAACUAAGUCAGACGUGAAAUCCCUCGGCUUAACCGGGGAACUGCGUCUGAUACUGGAUGGCUUGAGUGUGGGAGAGGGAUGCGGAAUUCCAGGUGUAGCGGUGAAAUGCGUAGAUAUCAAGAGGAAUACCAACAGCGUAGGCAGCUCUCUGGAAGAUUCCUGACUCUGAGGCACGAAGGCCAGGGGAGCAAACGGG